Molecule: ribosomal RNA, 341 nt
Filed under: uncultured bacterium
Lineage: Bacteria
Description: bacterial SSU rRNA
Rfam family: Bacterial small subunit ribosomal RNA
Source: RNAcentral
AAUAGCAUAUUCAUUUGACGUUAGCUGCAGAAGAAGCACCGGCUAACUCCGUGCCAGCAGCCGCGGUAAUACGGAGGGUGCGAGCGUUAAUCGGAAUUACUGGGCGUAAAGCGCAUGCAGGUGGUUUGUUAAGUCAGAUGUGAAAGCCCCGGGGCUCAACCUCGGAAUUGCAUUUUGAAACUGGCAAACUAGAGUACUGUAGAGGGGGGUAGAAUUUCAGGUGUAGCGGUGAAAUGCGUAGAGAUCUGAAGGAAUACCGGUGGCGAAGGCGGCCCCCUGGACAGAUACUGACACUCAGAUGCGAAAGCGUGGGGAGCAAACAGGAUUAGAUACCCUGGUAG